AUACGUAGGUGACAAGCGUUAUCCGGAUUUACUGGGCGUAAAGGGCGUGUAGGCGGUCUUGCAAGUCAGAAGUGAAAUUCCUGAGCUCAACUCGGGCGCUGCUUCUGAAACUGCAGGACUUGGGUGCUGGAGGGGAUAGCGGAAUUCCUAGUGGAGCGGUAAAAUGCGCAGAUAUUAGGAAGAACACCGGUGGCGAAGGCGGCUAUCUGGACAGUAACUGACGCUGAGGCGCGAAAGCGUGGGGAGCAAACAGGAUUAGAUCCCCUGGUAGUCCACGCCGUAAACGAUGAAUACUAGGUGUAGGGGGUAUCGACUCCCUCUGUGCCGCAGUUAACACAAUAAGUAUUCCGCCUGGGGAGUACGGCCGCAAGGUUGAAACUCAAAUGAAUUGGCGGGG
This 397-nucleotide ribosomal RNA is filed under the name uncultured bacterium. Its description in RNAcentral is "partial 16S ribosomal RNA". It matches the Rfam family "Bacterial small subunit ribosomal RNA", at positions 523 to 918 of the family's 1533-position model. The record is from RNAcentral.